CUGGCAAGUAGCUAAUGUUGUUCCACUAUUCAAGAAGGGAACCAAGGAUAAUGCUUGAAACUAUAGACUGGUAGACUGAUUGGCUGUCCAUACAAACUACAGAUUCAAAAAUACUGACAAUUGCUCAAUGUGUAUGCAUCAUAUUGAAACCUCAAAAUGCAAAGUGCAGUUUUACCAGUAUACUUCAUCUUUGGCAAGGAUGUGGCAAUUUAAGUGAGUUACAUACACAAGAUAUCUGCAGGAACUCAGUAAUUCUGG
This is a long non-coding RNA of Mobula hypostoma (lesser devil ray), 258 nucleotides long. RefSeq lists it as uncharacterized. The transcript is spliced from 3 exons. The record is from RefSeq and is a predicted model, not a curated record. Lineage: Eukaryota; Metazoa; Chordata; Chondrichthyes; Myliobatiformes; Myliobatidae.